ACACGUAAGGGGCAAGCGUUGUUCGGAAUUAUUGGGCGUAAAGGGCGCGUAGGCGGUUUUACAAGUCUGGUGUGAAAGACCUCAGCUUAACUGAGGGACCGCGCUGGAAACUGUAAGACUAGAAUCUAGGAGGGGAAGCUGGAAUUCCUGGUGUAGGGGUGAAAUCUGUAGAUAUCAGGAAGAACACCGGUGGCGAAGGCGAGCUUCUGGCCAUAGAUUGACGCUGAGGCGCGAAAGCGUGGGGAGCGAACAGGAUUAGAAACCCUAGUAGUCC
RNAcentral lists this ribosomal RNA (274 nucleotides) under uncultured bacterium. RNAcentral describes it as "partial 16S ribosomal RNA". It matches the Rfam family "Bacterial small subunit ribosomal RNA", at positions 523 to 796 of the family's 1533-position model. The record is from RNAcentral.